RNAcentral lists this long non-coding RNA (227 nucleotides) under Physcomitrium patens. Its description in RNAcentral is "long non-coding RNA (PPAT_LNC006528)". The record is from RNAcentral. Lineage: Eukaryota; Viridiplantae; Streptophyta; Bryopsida; Funariales; Funariaceae.
AACCAAAAAUAAAUUAAUAAAUCAUCUCUCUCUCUCGCUCUCUUUUUAUUUAAGAUUAGUAUUUCAAUGAUCAGGCAAAUCACUUGUGGAGGAUGAGGUUUCCCACGAGAAGGAUGAAUGACUCACAUCCAAGUCCCCUUCCACGACCCCAAAGUUCUGACAGCUCCAGUUUCAAGGUGCAUGCUGAACCAGGUUCUCUGAUAAGUACCAGAACUUCCUUACACACA